RNAcentral lists this ribosomal RNA (687 nucleotides) under uncultured cyanobacterium. RNAcentral describes it as "bacterial SSU rRNA". It matches the Rfam family "Bacterial small subunit ribosomal RNA", at positions 123 to 841 of the family's 1533-position model. Lineage: Bacteria; Bacillati; Cyanobacteriota. The record is from RNAcentral.
AAUCUACCUUCUGGUCGGGGACAACCACUGGAAACGGUGGCUAAUACCGGAUAUGCCUUCGGGUAAAAGAUUUAUUGCCAGAAGAGGAGCUCGCGUCUGAUUAGCUAGUUGGUAGGGUAAAAGCCUACCAAGGCAUCGAUCAGUAGCUGGUCUGAGAGGACGAUCAGCCACACUGGGACUGAGAUACGGCCCAGACUCCUACGGGAGGCAGCAGCGGGGAAUUUUCCGCAAUGGGCGAAAGCCUGACGGAGCAAGACCGCGUGAGGGAAGAAGGCUCUUGGGUCGUAAACCUCUUUUGUUAGGGAAGAACACAAUGACGGUACCUAACGAAUCAGCCUCGGCUAACUCCGUGCCAGCAGCCGCGGUAAUACGGAGGAGGCAAGCGUUAUCCGGAAUUAUUGGGCGUAAAGCGUCCGCAGGUGGCGAUUCAAGUCUGCGGUCAAAGACUGGGGCUUAACCCUGGAAAGGCCGUGGAAACUGAAGAGCUAGAGUGCAGUAGGGGUAGAGGGAAUUCCCGGUGUAGCGGUGAAAUGCGUAGAGCUCGGGAAGAACAUCGGUGGCGAAAGCGCUCUGCUGGACUGCAACUGACACUCAGGGACGAAAGCUAGGGGAGCGAAUGGGAUUAGAUACCCCAGUAGUCCUAGCCGUAAACGAUGGAUACUAGGUGUGGCUUGUAUCGACCCGAGC